This 28-nucleotide unclassified non-coding RNA is filed under the name Mus musculus (house mouse). RNAcentral's name for it is "oocyte_clustered_small_RNA11126". Lineage: Eukaryota; Metazoa; Chordata; Mammalia; Rodentia; Muridae. The record is from RNAcentral.
UGCCUUCGCCUCUAAGCCUGUGUCGCUA